RNAcentral lists this non-coding RNA (124 nucleotides) under Aspergillus nomiae NRRL 13137. Its description in RNAcentral is "Aspergillus nomius NRRL 13137 Eukaryotic large subunit ribosomal RNA". It matches the Rfam family "Eukaryotic large subunit ribosomal RNA", at positions 3280 to 3401 of the family's 3401-position model. The record is from Rfam by way of RNAcentral. Lineage: Eukaryota; Fungi; Ascomycota; Eurotiomycetes; Eurotiales; Aspergillaceae.
GUCACCUCGCGCGGGGAUGAAUCCUCUGCAGACGACUGAUGUGACCAAGCGGGUCGUGUAAGCGGUCAAGUAGCCUUGUUGCUACGAGUCGCUGAGCGUCAGCCCGAUCCUUGGCUCGAUUUGU